RNAcentral lists this non-coding RNA (30 nucleotides) under Mus musculus (house mouse). The record is from RNAcentral. Lineage: Eukaryota; Metazoa; Chordata; Mammalia; Rodentia; Muridae.
UCACCUGAUCUACUCCUGGAUCCAAUCACC